GGGUUAGGGUUAGGUUUAGGGGUAGGGAUAAGGGUUGGGGUAGGGUUUGGGGUAGUGUAAGGGGUAGGUUAGGAGUAGGGUUAGGAAUAGAGUUAAGGUUACCCUGCCCCUACCCCUACCCCAACCACUAACCCUACCCCUAAUCUUAACCCCUUACCCUACUCUAACCACUAACCCUACCCCAACUGCUAACCCUAUCCCUAAACCUAACCUUACUCUAACCC
Molecule: non-coding RNA, 224 nt
Organism: Pelobates cultripes (western spadefoot toad)
Lineage: Eukaryota; Metazoa; Chordata; Amphibia; Anura; Pelobatidae
Source: the annotation of a GenBank genome assembly